RNAcentral lists this unclassified non-coding RNA (339 nucleotides) under soil metagenome. RNAcentral describes it as "partial contains 5.8S ribosomal RNA, internal transcribed spacer 2, and large subunit ribosomal RNA". The stretch from base 1 to 120 matches the Rfam family "5.8S ribosomal RNA", at positions 35 to 154 of the family's 154-position model. The record is from RNAcentral.
GAUGAAGAACGUAGCGAAAUGCGAUACGUAGUGUGAAUUGCAGAAUUCAGUGAAUCAUCGAAUCUUUGAACGCACAUUGCACCUCUCGGUAUUCCGGGAGGUAUGCCUGUUCGAGCGUCAUUUGUACCCUCAAGCUCUGCUUGGUGUUGGGUGUUUGUUCCGCCUCUGUGUGUGAACUCGCCUCAAAACAAUUGGCAGCCGGCGUACUUGUUUCGGAGCGCAGCACAUUUUGCGAUCCAGAUCAACGUACAGCGGCAUCCAAGAAGCCUUAUUUAACGCUCUUGACCUCGGAUCAGGUAGGGAUACCCGCUUAACUUAAGCAUAUCAAUAAGCGGAGGA